GUGAGGAAUAUUGGACAAUGGGCGCAAGCCUGAUCCAGCCAUGCCGCGUGCAGGAAGACGCAUCUAUGGUGUGUAAACUGCUUUUGUACGGGAAGAAACACUCCCUCGUGAGGGAGCUUGACGGUACCGUAAGAAUAAGGAUCGGCUAACUCCGUGCCAGCAGCCGCGGUAAUACGGAGGAUCCAAGCGUUAUCCGGAAUCAUUGGGGUUAAAGGGUCCGUAGGCGGUUUAAUAAGUCAGUGGUGAAAGCCCAUCGCUCAACGAUGGAACGGCCAUUGAUACUGUUAGACUUGAAUUACAAGGAAGUAACUAGAAUAUGUAGUGUAGCGGUGAAAUGCUUAGAUAUUACAUGGAAUACCAAUUGCGAAGGCAGGUUACUACUUGUGGAUUGACGCUGAUGGACGAAAGCGUGGGGAGCGAACAGGAUUAGAUACCCUGGUAGUCC
RNAcentral lists this ribosomal RNA (445 nucleotides) under uncultured bacterium. RNAcentral describes it as "partial 16S ribosomal RNA". It matches the Rfam family "Bacterial small subunit ribosomal RNA", at positions 354 to 796 of the family's 1533-position model. The record is from RNAcentral.